RNAcentral lists this ribosomal RNA (468 nucleotides) under uncultured bacterium. RNAcentral's name for it is "partial 16S ribosomal RNA". It matches the Rfam family "Bacterial small subunit ribosomal RNA", at positions 31 to 507 of the family's 1533-position model. The record is from RNAcentral.
GAGGAACGCUGGCGGCGCGCCUAACACAUGCAAGUCGAACGGAGCUGAGAGAAGCUUGCUUUUCUUAGGUUAGUGGCGAACGGGUGAGUAACGCGUGAGUAACCUGCCUUGGAGUGGGGGACAACAGUUGGAAACGACUGCUAAUACCGCAUAAGCUCACGAUCCGGCAGCGGCUUGAGGGAAAAGGAUUUAUUCGCGUCAGGAUGGACUCUCGUCCGAUUGGCUAGUUGGUGAGUGAACGGCCCACCAACGCGACGAUGGGUAGCCGGACAGUGAGGUUGGGCCCCCACAUCGGGGCUGAGCAGCGGCCGGGACUCCUACGCGAGGCGGGAAUGGCGGAUACAGCACAACCGGGGAAGCGCUGAAGGAGCGCGGACGGGAAGACGAAGAAAGUUUGCGGAAAGAAAACUCCUGUCAUUAGGGACGAUAAUGACGGUACCUAACCAGAAAGCACCGGCUAACUACGUG